RNAcentral lists this non-coding RNA (24 nucleotides) under Arabidopsis thaliana (thale cress). The record is from RNAcentral. Lineage: Eukaryota; Viridiplantae; Streptophyta; Magnoliopsida; Brassicales; Brassicaceae.
AAACAAAGAUGAUUAGAAAAUGGG